Molecule: ribosomal RNA, 806 nt
Filed under: uncultured bacterium
Lineage: Bacteria
Description: bacterial SSU rRNA
Rfam family: Bacterial small subunit ribosomal RNA
Source: RNAcentral
AGAGUUUGAUCAUGGCUCAGAACGAACGCUGGCGGCGUGCUUAACACAUGCAAGUCGUGCGCGAAGGUGACUUCGGUCACCGGAGAGCGGCGAACGGGUGAGUAACACGUGGGUGAUCUGCCUGUGAGCGGGGGAUAACCUGGGGAAACUCGGGCUAAUACCGCAUACGUUGGUCUGGUUACGAUCAGGUCAAGAAAGCUGGCCUCUAUUUAUAAGCUAGCGCUCGCAGAGGAGCCCGCGGCUGAUUAGCUAGUUGGUGAGGUAAUGGCUCACCAAGGCGACGAUCAGUAGCCGGCCUGAGAGGGUGAUCGGCCACACUGGGACUGAGACACGGCCCAGACUCCUACGGGAGGCAGCAGUGGGGAAUAUUGGACAAUGGGCGCAAGCCUGAUCCAGCAACGCCGCGUGGAGGACGAAGGUCUUCGGAUCGUAAACUCCUGUCAGGCGGGACGAAGGUUGCGGGGCAAAUAGUCCUGCAGCUUGACGGUACUGCCAGAGGAAGCCCCGGCUAACUCCGUGCCAGCAGCCGCGGUAAUACGGAGGGGGCGAGCGUUAUUCGGAAUUAUUGGGCGUAAAGGGCGCGUAGGCGGCCCGGUAAGUCAAAGGUGAAAUCCCUCGGCUCAACUGAGGAACUGCCUUUGAAACUGUCGGGCUUGAGGCCGGGAGGGGAGCGGAAUUCCCAGUGUAGCGGUGAAAUGCGUAGAUAUUGGGAGGAACACCGGUGGCGAAGGCGGCUACCUGGACCGGUUCUGACGCUGAUGCGCGAAAGCGUGGGUAGCAAACAGGAUUAGAUACCCUAGUAGUCC